Molecule: ribosomal RNA, 118 nt
Filed under: Pogona vitticeps (central bearded dragon)
Lineage: Eukaryota; Metazoa; Chordata; Lepidosauria; Squamata; Agamidae
Source: RNAcentral
GUAAACCACCAUAUCAAUCUGAACAUGACAAUCUUACAGAAUUUAAGAAAAUAACCAGCAUCAGGCCUGGUUAGUCCUUGGAUGGGAGACCAACAGGAAGUAUCAUGUGCUGUAUGAA